RNAcentral lists this long non-coding RNA (1161 nucleotides) under Olea europaea subsp. europaea. Lineage: Eukaryota; Viridiplantae; Streptophyta; Magnoliopsida; Lamiales; Oleaceae. The record is from RNAcentral.
UUUUCCAUUUCCAAUUCUGACUUUGGAGAUGAAGCUUGUGUCAAGUUUUCUGAAUAGUUCUUGGUCAUAAGUCAUGUGGUUUGUACAGCCACCGUCUAUUAGCCACCUUUCUGUGGAGCUUAAAGUAGCAAAGCAGGAUACUGCAAAUAGCUGAUCUUCCUGAGGUUGUUCUACUACAGCUUUUGCUUCAUCUUGCUGUUGUUGAGACUUACAAAUCCUCUCCAUAUGCCCUAAUUGACCACAGUUGUUGCAUUUUGCAUUUUGCCUCCACCAACACUUAUUCUGUGGAUGAUUGGUUUUUUUUGCAGCAAGGACAAGAUGGAAAGUCCUGAGAGGUUUUGCCGCUGUUAUUAUUGUAGUUGUUUGAGCUUCCUGACUUGUUGUUCUGCUCCUUUUUCUUGUUCUUGCCACCUUAGUUAUUCUGAGAUUUAGCUUGAAAAGCACCUUUCAGAUAACCUUCCUGCCUCAUAAGCCUUCUUUGUUCUUGAGCUUGCAGAGCAUUCAACAAUUCUGCCAAGGUAAUUCUUGACAAAUCUCUUGAGUUUUCCAAAGAAGUAAUUGUCGCUUCAAAUUUCUCAGGAAUUGUGACAAGAAUUUUUUGAACAAUUCUAGAAUCAGAAAACUCGGUUUAUUGGCAAGACUGAGAAGCUUGUCCGCAUAAUCUUUGAUUGUCUCUUACUCUUUCAUCCAUUGCAUCUCAAAUUCUUGAACCAAAGUUAGCUCUUGCAUUCCUUUGAUCUUUUCACUUCAUACUCUUGCUUUAACAAAUCCCAAAUCUCUUUAGCUGUUUUCAUUGUCAUUAUUCUGUUGAAAAUAAUGGAAGAGACGGCUGUAAACAAGGUUGCUCUUGCUUUUGAUUUUCUUAGCUUCUUUUCUUUAUGAUUUUUCAUUUGAGCAAGAGUUGGAUGGCCUAGUAAGUCAGGAACUUCAUAUUCUUGCUCUACAGCUUUCCAUGGAUCAUUAGCAUCAAGAUAGGCUUCCAUUUUGACAUCCCACAUUUGAUAAUUUGUUCCAUCAAAUGCUGGAUGUGGGAUUUACGUGAAAGAAACUUCUAAUUCCAUCUUAGGCUGUUUGUAGGUUUUUGUGUUUUUGACUUUUUAAAUCUCACAUAUCUCUUAAGAUCGGUGCUCUGAUACCAGAAUGUUGGUAUGCAAAUUAACA